This 253-nucleotide ribosomal RNA is filed under the name uncultured bacterium. Its description in RNAcentral is "partial 16S ribosomal RNA". It matches the Rfam family "Bacterial small subunit ribosomal RNA", at positions 524 to 776 of the family's 1533-position model. The record is from RNAcentral.
UACGGGGGGGGCAAGCGUUGUUCGGAAUUACUGGGCGUAAAGGGCUCGUAGGCGGCCAACUAAGUCAGACGUGAAAUCCCUCGGCUUAACCGGGGAACUGCGUCUGAUACUGUCGGGCUAGAGUGCGGAAGAGGCGAGUGGAAUUCCUGGUGUAGCGGUGAAAUGCGCAGAUAUCAGGAGGAACACCAAUUGCGAAGGCAGCUCGCUGGGACGUAACUGACGCUGAGACGCGAAAGCGUGGGGAGCAAACAGG